UACGUAGGGUGCAAGCGUUGUCCGGAAUUAUUGGGCGUAAAGAGCUCGUAGGCGGUCUGUCGCGUCUGCUGUGAAAACUCGGGGCUUAACCCCGGGCCUGCAGUGGGUACGGGCAGACUCGAGUGUGGUAGGGGAGACUGGAAUUCCUGGUGUAGCGGUGGAAUGCGCAGAUAUCAGGAGGAACACCGAUGGCGAAGGCAGGUCUCUGGGCCACUACUGACGCUGAGAAGCGAAAGCAUGGGGAGCGAACAGG
RNAcentral lists this ribosomal RNA (253 nucleotides) under uncultured bacterium. RNAcentral's name for it is "partial 16S ribosomal RNA". It matches the Rfam family "Bacterial small subunit ribosomal RNA", at positions 524 to 776 of the family's 1533-position model. The record is from RNAcentral.